UACCAGCACCCCGAGCGGUCGGGACGAUUAUUGGGCCUAAAGCAUCCGUAGCCGGUUCUACAAGUCUUCCGUUAAAUCUACCUGCUUAACAGAUGGGCUGCGGAGGAUACUAUAGAGCUAGGAGGCGGGAGAGGCAAGCGGUACUUAGUGGGUAGGGGUAAAAUCCGUUGAUCCAUUGAAGACCACCAGUGGCGAAGGCGGCUUGCCAGAACGCACUCGACGGUGAGGGAUGAAAGCUGGGGGAGCAAACCGG
This 253-nucleotide ribosomal RNA is filed under the name uncultured bacterium. RNAcentral's name for it is "partial 16S ribosomal RNA". It matches the Rfam family "Archaeal small subunit ribosomal RNA", at positions 474 to 727 of the family's 1478-position model. The record is from RNAcentral.